GAUGAACGCUAGCGGGAGGCCUAACACAUGCAAGCCGAGCGGUAUUUGUCUUUCGGGACAGAGAGAGCGGCGUACGGGUGCGGAACACGUGUGCAACCUGCCUUUAUCAGGGGGAUAACAUUUCGAAAGGCAGAUUAAUACCCCAUAAUAUAUUUAAUGGCAUCAUUUGAUAUUGAAAACUCCGGUGGAUAGAGAUGGGCACGCGCAAGAUUAGAUAGUUGGUAGGGUAACGGCCUACCAAGUCAGUGAUCUUUAGGGGGCCUGAGAGGGUGAUCCCCCACACUGGUACUGAGACACGGACCAGACUCCUACGGGAGGCAGCAGUGAGGAAUAUUGGACAAUGGGUGAGAGCCUGAUCCAGCCAUCCCGCGUGAAGGACGACGGCCCUAUGGGUUGUAAACUUCUUUUGUAUAGGGAUAAACCUAGAUACGUGUAUCUAGCUGAAGGUACUAUACGAAUAAGCACCGGCUAACUCCGUGCCAGCCGCCGCUGUAA
This 495-nucleotide ribosomal RNA is filed under the name uncultured bacterium. RNAcentral's name for it is "partial 16S ribosomal RNA". It matches the Rfam family "Bacterial small subunit ribosomal RNA", at positions 28 to 523 of the family's 1533-position model. The record is from RNAcentral.